Molecule: ribosomal RNA, 250 nt
Filed under: uncultured bacterium
Lineage: Bacteria
Description: partial 16S ribosomal RNA
Rfam family: Bacterial small subunit ribosomal RNA
Source: RNAcentral
UACGGGGGGUGCAAGCGUUGUUCGGAAUUAUUGGGCGUAAAGCGCACGUAGGCGGAUCUGUAAGUCGAUUGUGAAAGCCCUGGGCUUAACCUGGGAAUUGCAGCCGAAACUGCAGACCUUGAAUGCUUGAGAGGAUGACGGAAUUCCUGGUGUAGAAGUGAAAUUCGUAGAUAUCAGGAGGAACACCCGAGGCGAAGGCGGUUAUCUGGCAAUGCAUUGACGCUGAGGUGCGAAAGCGUGGGUAGCAAAC